CACAUCUCUCUGUUCUAAAACACAUCUCUCUGUUCUAAAACACACCUCUCUCUGUUCUAAAACACAUCUCUCUUCUCUGGCAGGAGAGAGCCAAUUAGAGGUACUUAUACUCAAGAGAUAUGAUCUUUUUAAUCCUCUGAUCUCUGUGCUCAGAACAGGCUCUUAAACGGACACGUGUGGUGAAGAAGUGGUCAAGUUGUUUGACCUACUUCUAUAGUGUUUAAUCUGCAACCUCAGUUAAACUUAUUGAAGAAAAAAACAACAACCUCUCCGAUGAUAACAGACCAGAAUCCAUACUACGGGUUAUAUAUCCGUUUUCUAAGGUAACUGUUGGUUAUUAUGAGGGCUCGGGACAAGGCUAAAUCUUCUUUCGUAGGAUGUUGUUUUUUUUAGCCACUGGAGGUUGGUGGCACCUUAAUUUGAGGAGGACGGGCUCGUGGUAACAGCUGGAGCGGAAUCAGUGGAAUGGAAUCAAACACAUGGUUUCCAUGGUUUCCCCGGGUGUUGGAUGUCGUUCCAUUUUCUUCCGUUCCCGGCUACUAUCACGAGCUGUCCUCCUCUCAGCAGCCUCCUGUGUUUUAGGCAUGUAUGUAACAUACGGUACAUACUGCACCAAUGUUGCAUAACCAUGAUACUCUGACUCUCUCACAUAACCAUGCUACUCUGAAUCUCUCACAUAACCAUGAUACUCUGAAUCUCUCACAUAACCAUGAUACUCUGAAUCUCUCACAUAACCAUGAUAGACUGAAUCUCUCACAUAACCAUGAUAGACUGAGUCUCUCACAAAGCUAUUCUUUCAUCUCAGUCCCAUGAUGUUGAUGCUGGCUAAAGACAUCUAUUUAUCCCCCACACCCCCCCAACCUCCCCUUUGGAAUUUCCCUUUAAGAUCAGAUCUAUUUCAUACCCAGCUCAGCGUGAUAGCUCGAGCAGCAGGCCCGAUCGCACCUCAUGACGUUUAACCACAACACCACUCGUUCUCACGCUGUCUCUCCGCUAUAAUGAGGAUCUCUGCACAAUUGUCGCUUCCCUUCUAUGUUAAAGACACGUAGUUCUGUUUCACACCUUCACAUCGUCAGCUGUCCAGACAUGGUGUACUGUGGGUAGUAGACAUGGGGUAUUGUAGGUAGGUUGACUCGGUGUCGUGCUUCUACAUCUGCAUUGCGUGCUGUUUUGUUUUGGGGGGGGGGGUUAGGCUGGGUUUCUGUAUAAGCACUUGGUGAUAUCUGGCUUUAUAAAUACAUUUGAUUGUGUUGAUUGAAUGUAUUGUGGGUAGACAUGGUACAGAGUGGCCCAGCGUCGUCUGGGUUUUGGCCGGUGUAGGCCGUCAUUGUAGACAGACUGGCCUAGUUAAAUAAAAGUGAACUAUUUUGGGUAGACAUGGUACAGUGUGGCCCAGCGUCAUCCAUAUAAAUAAAGGUUAACUAUUCAGUGUCUGUCUGUCCACUGUCUCUCUGUCCAGUGUCUGUCUGUCCAGUGUCUGUCUGUCUGUCCAGUGUCUGUCUGUCUGUCCAGUGUCUGUCUGUCUGUCCAGUAUCUGUCUGUUCAGUGUCUGUCUGUCCAGUGUCUGUCUGUCUGUCCAGUGUCUGCCUGUUCAGUAUCUGUCUGUCUGUUCAGUGUCUGUCUGUCCAGUGUCUGUCUGUCUGUCCAGUGUCUGUCUGUUCAGUGUCUGUCUGUCCAGUGUCUGUCUGUCUGUCCAGUGUCUGCCUGUUCAGUGUCUGUCUGUCUGUCCAGUGUCUGUCUGUCCAGUGUCUGUCUAUUCAGUGUCUGUCUGUCUGUUCAGUGUCUGUCUGUCUGUCUAGUGUCUGUCUGUUCAGUGUCUGUCUGUCCAGUGUCUGUCUGUCUGUUCAGUGUCUGUCUGUCCAGUGUCUGUCUGUCUGUCCAGUGUCUGCCUGUUCAGUGUCUGUCUGUCUGUCCAGUGUCUGUCUGUCCAGUGUCUGUCUGUUCAGUGUCUGUCUGUCUGUUCAGUGUCUGUCUGUCUGUCUGUCCAGUGUCUGUCUGUUCAGUGUCUGUCUGUCCAGUGUCUGCCUGUUCAGUGUCUGCCUGUUCAGUGUCUGUCUGUCUGUUCAGUGUCUGUCUGUCUGUCCAGUGUCUGUCUGUCUGUCCAGUGUCUGUCUGUUCAGUGUCUGUCUGUCCAGUGUCUGUCUGUGUGUUCAGUGUCUGUCUGUCCAGUGUCUGUCUGUCUGUCUGUUCAGUGUCUGUCUGUCUGUCCAGUGUCUGUCUGUUCAGUGUCUGUCUGUCUGUCUGUCUGUCUGUCUGUCUGUCUGUCUGUCUGUCUGUCUGUCUGUCUGUCCAGUGUCUGUCUGUCCAGUGUCUGUCUGUCUGUUCAGUGUCUGUCUGUCUGUUCAGUGUCUGUCUGUUCAGUGUCUGUCUGUCUGUCCAGUGUCUGUCUGUCUGUCCAGAGAGGGGAGGUCUAACCUGACACCACAGACAGACGGAAAGAGAGGGGAGGUCUAACCUGACACCACAGACAGAUAGAGAGGGGAGGUCUAACUUGACACCACAGACAGAUAGAGAGGGGAGGUCUAACCUGACACAACAGACAGAUAGAGUGGACAGCUAGAGAAGGGAGGUCUAACUUGACACCACAGACAGACGGAAAGAGAGGGGAGGUCUAACCUGACACCACAGACAGAUAGAGAGGGGAGGUCUAACCUGACACCACAGACAGACAGAAAGAGAGGGGAGGUCUGACCUGACACCACAGACAGAUAGAGAGGGGAGGUCUAACCUGACCCCACAGACAGAUGGAAAGAGAGGGGAGGUCUAACCUGACACCACAGACAGACGGAAUGAGAGGGGAGGUCUGACCUGACACCACAGACAGACGGAAUGAGAGGGGAGGUCUGACCUGACACCACAGACAGAUAGAGAGGGGAGGUCUAACCUGACACCACAGACAGACGGAAAGAGAGGGGAGGUCUGACCUGACACCACAGACAGAUAGAGAGGGGAGGUCUAACCUGACCCCACAGACAGAUGGAAAGAGAGGGGAGGUCUAACCUGACACCACAGACAGACAGAAAGAGAGAGAGGGGAGGUCUAACCUGACACCACAGACAGACGGAAAGAGAGGGGAGGUCUAACUUGACACCACAGACAGACAGAAAAAGAGCGGAGGUCUAACCUGACACUACAGACAGACGGAAAGACAGGGGAGGUCUAACCUGACACCACAGACAGAAAGAGAGGGGAGGUCUAACCUUACACCACAGACAGACGGAAAGAGAGGGGAGGUCUAACCUGACACCACAGACAGAGAGACAGAGAGAGAGGGGAGGUCUAACUUGACACCACAGACAGACAGAAAGAGAGGGGAGGUCUAACCUGACACCACAGACAGACGGAAAGAGAGAGAGGGGAGGUCUAACUUGACACCACAGACAGACAGAAAGAGAGGGGAGGUCUAACCUGACACCACAGACAGACAGAAAGAGAGAGAGGGGAGGUCUAACUUGACACCACAGACAGACAGAAAGAGAGGGGAGGUCUAACCUGACACCACAGACAGACAGAAAGAGACGGGAGGUCUGACUUGACACCACAGACAGACGGAAAAAGAGGGGAGGUCUAACUUGACACCACAGACAGACGGAAAGACAGGGGAGGUCUAACCUGACACCACAGACAGACAGAAAGAGAGAGAAGGGAGAUCUAACUUGACACCACAGACAGACAGAAAGAGAGAGGAGGUCUAACCUGACACCACAGACAGAAAGAGAGGGGAGGUCUAACCUGACACCACAGACAGACGGAAAGAGAGGGGAGGCCUGACCUGAUACCGCAGACAGACAGAAAGAGAGGGGAGGUCUAACCUGACACCACAGACAGAAAGAGAGGGGAGGUCUAACCUGACACCACAGACAGACGGAAACAGGGGGGGGCCUGACCUGAUACUGCAGACAGACAGAAAGAGAGGGGAGGUCUAACCUGACACCGCAGACAGACAGAAAGAGAGGGGAGGUCUAACCUGACACCACAGACAGACAGAAAGAGAGAGAGGGGAGGUCUAACUUGACACCACAGACAGACAGAAAGAGAGGGGAGGUCUAACCUGACCACAGACAGACGGAAAGAGAGGGGAGGUCUAACCUGACACCACAGACAGACGGAAAGAGAGGGGAGGUCUAACCCAACACCACUUUCAGACAGAAAGGUUGAAAAGUCCUGAAUCAAGAAAAACAGCAAAAUAAAACCCCUUCUGGGUCCCACAAGGUCAACCACCACCCCUCCACGUCUCUUCACACAUACCUCAGCAUCAGCAUAGCAGUUGGAGUCCAGACCCGGCGGAUGCUGAUGAAGCUAUGCAUACCAUCACCAAGUGUUUGUGUAGAAGAAGAUGAGUAUACACAUUCCUGCUGCAUUUUGGUCCACUCAAUACGACAAACGUUACAGAACUACCCACCAACAACGGACCAAGCAGCGGAGGAAGGAGCAGCAAGAGGAGUAUAAGGAGUCAUGGACUUGGGAGGAGAUAUUAGCUGGAGAAGGACCAUGGAGGAAGACUGGAGAGGACCGGGAACGCUAUGCGGGAACACGGCUGGCAAGGAAGCCUGAGAGGCAGCCCCCCAAAAAUGUUUGGGGGGGGGGCACACGGGAAGAUUGGCUAGGUCAGGCAUUAGACCUGAGCCAACUCCCUGUGCUUAUUAUGGGGAGCGUUUGGCGGUGAGAACGCCAGUAUAUGCGGAAGUGCGCACGAUCUCGCCCAUGCGCACGCACAGUCCGGUGCGAGUAAUACCAGCCCCCGUAAGUGCCGUGCUAGAGUGGGCAUCCAAGCUGGGGUCAUAUUUUGCUAAUGUGCCUGAAAGUAUUAAUGUUGGACUAGGUCUAUAACACUGUAUAAAUGCUGGACUAGGUCUGUAACACUGUAUUAAUGCUGCACUGGGCCAGUAACACUGUAUUAAUGCUGGGCUGGGUCUGUAACACUGUAUUAAUGCUGGACUAGGUCUAUAACACUGUAUUAAUGCUGGACUAGGUCUAUAACACUGUAUUAAUGCUGGACUAGGUCUAUA
This 5009-nucleotide long non-coding RNA is filed under the name Salmo salar (Atlantic salmon). Its description in RNAcentral is "lncRNA (ENSSSAG00000100877.1, ENSSSAG00000109830.1)". Lineage: Eukaryota; Metazoa; Chordata; Actinopteri; Salmoniformes; Salmonidae. The record is from RNAcentral.